Molecule: ribosomal RNA, 583 nt
Filed under: uncultured Sphingomonas sp.
Lineage: Bacteria; Pseudomonadati; Pseudomonadota; Alphaproteobacteria; Sphingomonadales; Sphingomonadaceae
Description: bacterial SSU rRNA
Rfam family: Bacterial small subunit ribosomal RNA
Source: RNAcentral
CGGCCUUAGUGGCGCACGGGUGCGUAACGCGUGGGAAUCUGCCCCUUGGUUCGGAAUAACAGUUGGAAACGACUGCUAAUACCGGAUGACGACGUAAGUCCAAAGAUUUAUCGCCGAGGGAUGAGCCCGCGUAGGAUUAGGUAGUUGGUGUGGUAAAGGCGCACCAAGCCGACGAUCCUUAGCUGGUCUGAGAGGAUGAUCAGCCACACUGGGACUGAGACACGGCCCAGACUCCUACGGGAGGCAGCAGUGGGGAAUAUUGGACAAUGGGCGAAAGCCUGAUCCAGCAAUGCCGCGUGAGUGAUGAAGGCCUUAGGGUUGUAAAGCUCUUUUACCCGGGAUGAUAAUGACAGUACCGGGAGAAUAAGCUCCGGCUAACUCCGUGCCAGCAGCCGCGGUAAUACGGAGGGAGCUAGCGUUAUUCGGAAUUACUGGGCGUAAAGCGCACGUAGGCGGCUUUGUAAGUAAGAGGUGAAAGCCCAGAGCUCAACUCUGGAAUUGCCUUUUAGACUGCAUCGCUUGAAUCAUGGAGAGGUCAGUGGAAUUCCGAGUGUAGAGGUGAAAUUCGUAGAUAUUCGGAAGA